Molecule: ribosomal RNA, 403 nt
Filed under: Verrucomicrobiota bacterium
Lineage: Bacteria; Pseudomonadati; Verrucomicrobiota
Description: Verrucomicrobia bacterium partial 16S ribosomal RNA
Rfam family: Bacterial small subunit ribosomal RNA
Source: RNAcentral
UGGGGAAUAUUGCACAAUGGGCGCAAGCCUGAUGCAGCAACGCCGCGUGAACGAUGAAGGUCUUCGGAUCGUAAAGUUCUGUUGCAGGGGAAGAUAAUGACGGUACCCUGUGAGGAAGCCCCGGCUAACUACGUGCCAGCAGCCGCGGUAAUACGUAGGGGGCUAGCGUUAUCCGGAUUUACUGGGCGUAAAGGGUGCGUAGGUGGUCCUUCAAGUUGGUGGUUAAAGGCUACGGCUCAACCGUAGUAAGCCGCCGAAACUGGAGGACUUGAGUGCAGGCGAGGAGAGUGGAAUUCCCAGUGUAGCGGUGAAAUGCGUAGAUAUUGGGAGGAACACCAGUAGCGAAGGCGGCUUUCUGGACUGCAACUGACACUGAGGCACGAAAGCGUGGGUAGCAAACAGG